This 483-nucleotide ribosomal RNA is filed under the name uncultured bacterium. Its description in RNAcentral is "partial 16S ribosomal RNA". It matches the Rfam family "Bacterial small subunit ribosomal RNA", at positions 28 to 507 of the family's 1533-position model. The record is from RNAcentral.
GAUGAACGCUGGCGGCGUGCCUAACACAUGCAAGUCGAACGGAGUCGUUUUGGCAAUCUCUUCGGAGAUGGAAUUCUCGACUUAGUGGCGGACGGGUGAGUAACGCGUGAGCAAUCUGCCUUUAAGAGGGGGAUAACAGUCGGAAACGGCUGCUAAUACCGCAUAAAGCAUUAAAUUCGCAUGUUUUUGAUGCCAAAGGAGCAAUCCGCUUUUAGAUGAGCUCGCGUCUGAUUAGCUAGUUGGCGGGGUAACGGCCCACCAAGGCGACGAUCAGUAGCCGGACUGAGAGGUUGAACGGCCACAUUGGGACUGAGACACGGCCCAGACUCCUACGGGAGGCAGCAGUGGGGAAUAUUGCGCAAUGGGGGAAACCCUGACGCAGCAACGCCGCGUGAUUGAAGAAGGCCUUCGGGUUGUAAAGAUCUUUAAUCAGGGACGAAACAAAUGACGGUACCUGAAGAAUAAGCUCCGGCUAACUACGUG